Chelonoidis abingdonii (Abingdon island giant tortoise) is the source of this 985-nucleotide long non-coding RNA. RefSeq lists it as uncharacterized. The record is from RefSeq and is a predicted model, not a curated record. NCBI's taxonomy places the organism in Eukaryota, Metazoa, Chordata, Testudines, Testudinidae.
UAAAGGUGCUGAUACAGGUAGGGAAGAGGACCAGGCUAUCCUGGUAUAAGGCACUUCUAUUCUGAUAUAACAGCAUCCACGCUAGGGGUACUGGUGGAGCUAUACUGGUAAUAAUCACACCCCUGAUGAACAUGACCGCACUUGUACAGACACUGGGAAGAACAAACCUACACGGUUAAUUCCAGCACAGGAACACAGGACUGGCAGGGACGUCCUGGGCCACCAAGCCCAGUCCAAGCAAUUGCACGCCACUCCUUCCGAUAACCCCAUUUGUGAAUUUAUCAAGCGGAAAUCUGAGCAUGCAGCCCUUUGCAGCGAGAUUCCAACACCAGAAGGGACCUCUGUGAUAAUCUAACCUGACCUUCUGUGUAACACAGGCCAGAGAACUACCCUCCACAAAUUCCUAAAGCAGAAGCUUUUAGAAGAAAACAUCCAAUUUUGCUUUUAAAAUGGCCAGUGAGGGAAAAGCCACCACAACUCUUGGACUCUACCUGGACAAUCACAGACUGUGGCAGCCCAUCCAGCUGUGUCCAUUCCCCAUCGCCUGGCCCAUAACAUCUGGAUUGCUCCAGAAUGCUCACUUCCUGUUGGCGCCCAGAUGAUGAAAGCUGGAGAGCCCCAGGAGUCAGACAGCCCAGGACUGGAUAGAGAGCUAAGGCCCAUGCCCAGGGCCCCGGCACCUGGAGUUGCACGCCCUCUCCAGUUGAUCCACAUCCUCUUUAAAUUUUGGACACCAGAACUGGACACUAUGCCAGCAACGGUCACACCAGUGCCAAGGGAACAUAACCUCCCUCCUGCUGAUUAUCCGCCAGGACCCCCAAAGACCUUUCCAGAUCACUGCUACCCAGGAUCAGGCCUUGAGGAAAUUCAGAACCCUGGUAAAUAAUUUACCUGGCUUCAUUCUUAUUUGUACUGAUAGAGUGAGGGGCUGGCGGGUUUAAAAAGAUGCAGCUGCUGCUGUUCUUUGGGGGCAAUAAAAAUUAAU